Molecule: unclassified non-coding RNA, 339 nt
Filed under: soil metagenome
Description: partial contains 5.8S ribosomal RNA, internal transcribed spacer 2, and large subunit ribosomal RNA
Rfam family: 5.8S ribosomal RNA (bases 1-120)
Source: RNAcentral
GAUGAAGAACGCAGCGAAAUGCGAUAAGUAGUGUGAAUUGCAGAAUUCAGUGAAUCAUCGAAUCUUUGAACGCACAUUGCGCCCUUUGGUAUUCCUUAGGGCAUGCCUGUUCGAGCGUCAUUUAAACCUUCAAGCUCAGCUUGGUGUUGGGUGACUGUCCGCCGCCUCCGGGCGGUCGGACUCGCCUCAAAUUGAUUGGCGGCCGGUACUUUGGCUUCGAGCGCAGCAGAAACGCGAACUCGAGGCCGUCGUCCUGGCUCCCAGAAGCUGUCUUCACAAUUUUGACCUCGGAUCAGGUAGGGAUACCCGCUGAACUUAAGCAUAUCAAUAAGCGGAGGA